AGUGGCGAACGGGUGAGUAAUGCAUCGGAACGUACCUUUCAGUGGGGGAUAACGUAGCGAAAGUUACGCUAAUACCGCAUAUUCUGUGAGCAGGAAAGCAGGGGAUCGCAAGACCUUGCGCUGAUUGAGCGGCCGAUAUCAGAUUAGCUAGUUGGUGAGGUAAAGGCUCACCAAGGCGACGAUCUGUAGCGGGUCUGAGAGGAUGAUCCGCCCCUGGAACUGAGCCCCGGUCCAGACUCCUACGGGAGGCAGCAGUGGGGAAUUUUGGACAAUGGGGGCAACCCUGAUCCAGCCAUGCCGCGUGAGUGAAGAAGGCCUUCGGGUUGUAAAGCUCUUUCGUCCGGGAAGAAAUCGCAUCAGCUAAUACCUGGUGGGAGACGGU
This 382-nucleotide ribosomal RNA is filed under the name uncultured bacterium. RNAcentral describes it as "bacterial SSU rRNA". It matches the Rfam family "Bacterial small subunit ribosomal RNA", at positions 94 to 476 of the family's 1533-position model. The record is from RNAcentral.